Small nucleolar RNA from Heterocephalus glaber (naked mole-rat), 105 nucleotides. NCBI's taxonomy places the organism in Eukaryota, Metazoa, Chordata, Mammalia, Rodentia, Bathyergidae. The record is from Ensembl.
AUCAGGUCUUUCAGUUUUUAAGUGUGAUAACCAGGUGUUUACACCAUUGUGUGAUACGUAUCUUCUGCAACCUUGUUACAACAUUGGCACAUUAUCCAUUUAAUG